RNAcentral lists this ribosomal RNA (511 nucleotides) under Eumolpinae sp. JGZ-53. RNAcentral describes it as "partial 12S ribosomal RNA". Lineage: Eukaryota; Metazoa; Arthropoda; Insecta; Coleoptera; Chrysomelidae. The record is from RNAcentral.
ACACAUUCUAGAGCCUAAUUCAUUUUAAUUAACAAUUAAAAUUACAUUCAAAUCCAAAUUUAAAAUUUUAAUGCUAAAAUUUAUCCUUAAAUAAAUUUAUUGUAAUCCAUCUCUUCUUCUAUAAGCUGCACCUUGAUCUGAUUUAUUAUACAAUAAUACAUUCAAAUUAUAUAUUUCUAAAAAUAAUUAACAACGACGAUAUACAAGCAUAAUAAAAGUUUUAUUAAUCGUGGAUUAUCGAUUACAGGACAGAUUCCCCUGAUUGGAAUAAAAAACCGCCAAAUUUUUUGAUUUUAAAGAACAUAACUUAUAUUUAUCAAGUCUAAACGUCUACAUCUAGAAUAAUGGGGUAUCUAAUCCCAGUUUACAUCCCAGAUUUCUUAACUUCAUAACCAAUAGUUUAAUUAAAUAAAAAUAGGAUUUCACCCAAUAUUUUAACAUAGUAAAAAAUAAUUAUUAUUAAUUAAGUAUAAAACUGAAAAAAAAUAGUAGCAUUAUUUGUUUAACCGCA